CAGGUCAUAUAAGUGUGGAGUU
RNAcentral lists this microRNA (22 nucleotides) under Bos taurus (domestic cattle). RNAcentral's name for it is "bta-miR-2431-5p". Lineage: Eukaryota; Metazoa; Chordata; Mammalia; Artiodactyla; Bovidae. The record is from miRBase by way of RNAcentral.